GACGAACGCUGGCGGCGUGCUUAACACAUGCAAGUCGAACGCUGAAGCUUGGUGCUUGCACUGGGUGGAUGAGUGGCGAACGGGUGAGUAAUACGUGAGUAACCUGCCCUUGACUCUGGGAUAAGCCUGGGAAACUGGGUCUAAUACUGGAUACGACAUGUCACCGCAUGGUGGUGUGUGGAAAGGGUUUUACUGGUUUUGGAUGGGCUCACGGCCUAUCAGCUUGUUGGUGGGGUAAUGGCUCACCAAGGCGACGACGGGUAGCCGGCCUGAGAGGGUGCCCGGCCCACCUGGCUAUGGGACCCGGCCGAGUCUACUACGGGAGGACGGGGGGGAGAAUUUUCCACACGGGCCGGGUGGGUGAAGAAGGCCCGCCGGUUGGGGAGCGCCGGCCUUGGGGUUGAAAACCUUUUUCAGAACGGAAAGAGGGAAUGACGCGGCCCGAAGAAAAAACCCCCCCUCACUUCGCG
Molecule: ribosomal RNA, 470 nt
Filed under: uncultured bacterium
Lineage: Bacteria
Description: partial 16S ribosomal RNA
Rfam family: Bacterial small subunit ribosomal RNA
Source: RNAcentral